This 309-nucleotide long non-coding RNA is filed under the name Vicia faba (fava bean). The record is from RNAcentral. Lineage: Eukaryota; Viridiplantae; Streptophyta; Magnoliopsida; Fabales; Fabaceae.
AUGAACCCCGUUCUUCAUCUCACUUUGUUCGUCUGGUCAAGCUUCUCUCACCUUCCUCAAUCAACAAAAACGCACUGCUAUGGACCUGCGUCCAAGACCGUCUCCAAUGAAAAUUAUCACGACAACAUCGUUCAUCGCCUCUUUGCUCGAAGCACUGUGUCGCUUCCGUUCGGUUUCUCCUCAUUUUCAUUCGCCACUCACAAGGCUCCGCUCUCAGAUUCCGACUCUCAUCUCGCAUUCAAUCGAAUCAAGAGCAUGCAAGAACAGAAGAAGGAGCUUUCUAUUUCAAUUUUAACAUGUUUCGAAUAG